UGGGGAAUAUUGCACAAUGGGCGCAAGCCUGAUGCAGCCAUGCCGCGUGUGUGAAGAAGGCCUUCGGGUUGUAAAGCACUUUCAGCGAGGAGGAAGGUGGUGAGCUUAAUACGCUCAUCAAUUGACGUUACUCGCAGAAGAAGCACCGGCUAACUCCGUGCCAGCAGCCGCGGUAAUACGGAGGGUGCAAGCGUUAAUCGGAAUUACUGGGCGUAAAGCGCACGCAGGCGGUUUGUUAAGUCAGAUGUGAAAUCCCCGGGCUCAACCUGGGAACUGCAUUUGAAACUGGCAAGCUAGAGUCUCGUAGAGGGGGGUAGAAUUCCAGGUGUAGCGGUGAAAUGCGUAGAGAUCUGGAGGAAUACCGGUGGCGAAGGCGGCCCCCUGGACGAAGACUGACGCUCAGGUGCGAAAAGGCGUGGGGCAGCAAAACAGGAUUAGAUACCCUGGUAGUCCACGCUGU
RNAcentral lists this ribosomal RNA (460 nucleotides) under uncultured bacterium. Its description in RNAcentral is "partial 16S ribosomal RNA". It matches the Rfam family "Bacterial small subunit ribosomal RNA", at positions 355 to 803 of the family's 1533-position model. The record is from RNAcentral.